This 253-nucleotide ribosomal RNA is filed under the name uncultured bacterium. RNAcentral describes it as "partial 16S ribosomal RNA". It matches the Rfam family "Bacterial small subunit ribosomal RNA", at positions 524 to 776 of the family's 1533-position model. The record is from RNAcentral.
UCCGUAGGUGGCAAGCGUUGUCCGGAAUUACUGGGUGUAAAGGGAGCGUAGGCGGGGUGACAAGUCAGAAGUGAAAAUUAUGGGCUCAACUCAUAACCUGCUUUUGAAACUGUCGCUCUUGAGUGAAGUAGAGGCAAGCGGAAUUCCUAGUGUAGCGGUGAAAUGCGUAGAUAUUAGGAGGAACACCAGUGGCGAAGGCGGCUUGCUGGGCUUUUACUGACGCUGAGGCUCGAAAGCGUGGGGAGCAAACAGG